GACUGUGAGGUCAGGCUUUUACCGUGUUUUCUCGCCUCUAUUCUCUCCUGCGAGCAAGGGCUGGUUUUAGCUCCUCUUGUUUCGCAAAGUUAGUGUUCAGACCGCCAGCUGACUCCUGGGAAGAAGCAUUAAUGUACCAUAGAAUGAUCACCAAGAACAACAGCAACAGUGGAGUGGAGUCAAUCUGCUACAGAGAAUGCUACAGAGGGCAGAGCUGGAGAAGUGACACAAGCCCUUUGGAAGAGCCCAGAAGAUCAUGUGUGGAUCCUAGAUACUGGAACAAGAAGCGGAAUUUCCUCCAGUAUUUUCAUAGCAACCUUCAGAUGAAAGUGUAGAACUCUCAGCUCCUCCUGCAUCAUGACUGCCUGGGGCUGCCAUGUUCCUGCCUUGAUGAUAAUGGACUGAACCUCUAAACCUGACUGGUUGUUCUAUUUCUGAGAUCUCUGAGACCCAGCCCACCAGGAACACACAAAUGUGGAACCGAGAUAGGCUGAGGACUUAUUAAACAGAAUUCUGCUGUUCCUAUCCCAGGGUUGGACCAAUGUGUAGAAAAUUGCUUAUGGGAUUCUUUGAAUGACUUUUUCAUUGCGGGAAAUAUUAAAAAUGAACCUGCCAACCUUCCACACUCCUGCUUCUUUCAAGCCACCAACUCAAGAGAUCUGUCUCUGCCUCCUACGUGCUGGAAUCAAAGAACAUAAAGGCGGACCACUGUUUGCCGGCAUUAAGUAUAUUCGCAAUGCUGAACCAUCAUCCAUUUCCAAGAAAAACACAACGUUCAAGUCUACUUUUUAAAAAGAAAGUUAAGAACCGCUAAGUCCUUAAGCACUAUCGAAAAUGAUCCUCACACAGGAACCAAACAGGAGGGCAGCCC
Molecule: long non-coding RNA, 871 nt
Filed under: Mus musculus (house mouse)
Lineage: Eukaryota; Metazoa; Chordata; Mammalia; Rodentia; Muridae
Description: RIKEN cDNA 2500002B13 gene
Source: RNAcentral